This is a long non-coding RNA of Hyposmocoma kahamanoa, 147 nucleotides long. RefSeq lists it as uncharacterized. The record is from RefSeq and is a predicted model, not a curated record. NCBI's taxonomy places the organism in Eukaryota, Metazoa, Arthropoda, Insecta, Lepidoptera, Cosmopterigidae. The transcript is spliced from 3 exons.
UUGGAGAUUUACACAGGUUGGUCAGAAAUGGAAACCCAAAAGGGUUUCUAGGCAUGAUGAACAGUAGCAGAAAAUUUUAUUUUUCACGUAACAUACAUUUUUGUACUUAAAAAGCAUGAGGGGCGUAGCUGUACCAAUGCGAAACGC